CGANCCNGAGCUUGCUCUGGGGCAGAGCCGCGAACGGGUGAGUAACACGUGGGUAACGUACCCCGAUUACCGGGACAACCCGAGGAAACUCGGGCUAAUACCNGNAUGUGCUCCCUCCCCAUGAGGGGAGUGAGUAAAGGAAGCUUCGGCNUCCGANUCGGGAGCGGCCCGCGGCCCAUUAGUUUGUUGGUGGGGUAACGGCCUACCAAGACUGCGAUGGGUAGCUGGUCUGAGAGGACGAUCAGCCACACUGGGACUGAGACACGGCCCAGACUCCUACGGGAGGCAGCAGUGGGGAAUCUUGCGCAAUGCGCGAAAGCGUGACGCAGCAACACCGCGUGGGGGAAGAAGGCCUUCGGGUUGUAAACCCCUUUCAGGAGGGACGAAGGCCGGCCGGUGAAUAGCCGUGCCGGUUGACGGUACCUCCACAAGAAGCCCCGGCUAACUACGUGCCAGCAGCCGCGGUAAUACGUAGGGGGCAAGCGUUGUCCGGAAUCAUUGGGCGUAAAGCGCGCGUAGGCGGCCCGAUAAGUCCGCUGUAAAAGUCAACGGCUCAACCGUUGAAAGCCGGUGGAUACUGUCGGGCUAGAGUCCGGAAGAGGCAAGUGGAAUUCCUGGUGUAGCGGUGGAAUGCGCAGAUAUCAGGAGGAACACCUAUAGCGAAGGCAGCUUGCUGGGACGGUACUGACGCUAAGGCGCGAAAGCGUGGGGAGCGAACAGGAUUAGAUACCCUGGUAGUCCACGCCGUAAACGAUGAGAACUAGGUGUGGGAGGUGUCGACUCCUCCCGUGCCGUCGCUAACGCAUUAAGUUCUCCGCCUGGGGAGUACGGCCGCAAGGCUAAAACUCAAAGGAAUUGACGG
Molecule: ribosomal RNA, 862 nt
Filed under: uncultured bacterium
Lineage: Bacteria
Description: bacterial SSU rRNA
Rfam family: Bacterial small subunit ribosomal RNA
Source: RNAcentral